GAUGAACGCUGGCGGCGUGCUUAACACAUGCAAGUCGAACGAAGCAUUUGCGACAGAUUUUUUCGGAAUGAAGUUGCUUAUGACUGAGUGGCGGACGGGUGAGUAACGCGUGGGUAACCUGCCUUGUACUGGGGGAUAGCAGCUGGAAACGGCUGGUAAUACCGCAUAAGCGCACAAUGUUGCAUGACAUGGUGUGAAAAACUCCGGUGGUAUAAGAUGGACCCGCGUCUGAUUAGCUAGUUGGUGAGAUAACAGCCCACCAAGGCGACGAUCAGUAGCAGACCUGAGAGGGUGACCGGCCACAUUGGGACUGAGACACGGCCCAGACUCCUACGGGAGGCAGCAGUGGGGAAUAUUGCACAAUGGAGGAAACUCUGAUGCAGCGACGCCGCGUGAGUGAAGAAGUAAUUCGUUAUGUAAAGCUCUAUCAGCAGGGAAGAUAGUGACGGUACCUGACUAAGAAGCUCCGGCUAAAUACGUG
This 481-nucleotide ribosomal RNA is filed under the name uncultured bacterium. RNAcentral's name for it is "partial 16S ribosomal RNA". It matches the Rfam family "Bacterial small subunit ribosomal RNA", at positions 28 to 507 of the family's 1533-position model. The record is from RNAcentral.